This 233-nucleotide unclassified non-coding RNA is filed under the name Myrothecium sp. RNAcentral describes it as "partial internal transcribed spacer region". The stretch from base 1 to 46 matches the Rfam family "Eukaryotic small subunit ribosomal RNA", at positions 1786 to 1831 of the family's 1831-position model. Lineage: Eukaryota; Fungi; Ascomycota; Sordariomycetes; Hypocreales; Stachybotryaceae. The record is from RNAcentral.
AAGUCGUAACAAGGUCUCCGUUGGUGAACCAGCGGAGGGAUCAUUACCGAGUUUUCAACUCCCAAACCCAAUGUGAACCUACCCAUCGUUGCUUCGGCGGAACGCCCCGGCGCCCUCGCGGCCCGGACCCAGGCGCCCGCCGGAGGCCCCAAACUCUUGUUUCCCCAGCGGCAUCUCCUCUGAGUGGCACAAACAAUGAAUAAAAACUUUCAACAACGGAUCUCUUGGUUCUG